UGGGGAAUUUUCCACAAUGGGCGAAAGCCUGAUGGAGCAACGCCGCGUGUGUGAUGAAGGUUUUCGGAUCGUAAAGCACUUUCGACCGGGACGAAAAACCUCUGGCUAACAUCCAGGGGCCUGACGGUACCGGGAGAAGAAGCACCGGCUAACUCUGUGCC
Molecule: ribosomal RNA, 161 nt
Filed under: uncultured bacterium
Lineage: Bacteria
Description: partial 16S ribosomal RNA
Rfam family: Bacterial small subunit ribosomal RNA
Source: RNAcentral